RNAcentral lists this transfer RNA (69 nucleotides) under Evermannella ahlstromi. RNAcentral describes it as "tRNA-Ser". The record is from RNAcentral. Lineage: Eukaryota; Metazoa; Chordata; Actinopteri; Aulopiformes; Evermannellidae.
GAGAGAGUCCCGACGGAAAUGAUGACUGCUAAUCCCUUAUUCCCCUGGUUAAACCCCAGGGCUCACUCG